AUGGACACAGACACAUUCAUGAACUCACACAAACAUGGACACAUCUACACAGUCACACUCAUGGACACACUCAGACACAUGGACACGAUCCUGGACACACAUUUGUGGACACAUAUUCAUGGAUAUACAAACUGGUGGACAAAAUGUUCACACAGACAUGCUCAUGGACACACCCUGGUGGACACGGCUCCAGCUCUCACUCGCCCUGCCUGCCUCUCUCUCGAGACACCUGCCUCUGGAUUGCGGUUGGACAGACAGACAGACCCUUCUCCAGAGGAGCAGGUGAUGGAUUGGCUGGGGAUUUUUCUAGGCCCAGUGGCUCCUAAGGCCUUUUCAGUUCCUCCUUCACAGGCUCAGCUGCAGAGGCAAGAAAGCAAGCCGCCAUGGAAGCGGAAGUGCUGGAACCUAGCUCAGCCCGAGUUGCAAACCUCUGCAGGCCAGUGGGAGUUUUGUAUUUUUUCUUUAAAAGCAACUGGUUGUUUGCCACACCCUCGCUCACUUUGGGGUCGACAGGUGUAUGCCAUUUGGAAAUGAGGCAAACCCACAGGCUGGUUCCUUGGGCUCUUUGCUACCUAAGAAAGAUUACCAAAUAAGUUAACUUUGACUCACUGACCCCUCAGAUCAGCCAAUAAAAUGAAGCGCUUACACCACAACUUGCUCAAGGGGUAGUGCAAUUGAUUUACUUAAAAAUGAUGUCAGGUGGCAAUUGAGCAACAAACUGGCUUCCAGACUGCUUAAUUCAGUUUAACGAGGAGGAAAAACCUUGUAAUUAACGGAAGAGCUUGAAUACUUUGGUGACGCUGUUUUCAAAGUCUGCCAUACCUAAGCUGGGGGGGAGGAGGGGAUAGCUUGCUGAAAACUAUAGGUUCCCAGGCCCCGCUUAGCAAGUCAGGGGCCAGGACUGGGAUUCUGCAUUUAAGAGAAACACCUUUGCAAGUUCUGCUUCUCUGCUCAUCAUCCAGUCUCACUGGACUUUUAGUCAAGCUAUACUCCCAUUUUCUGUUCUAACUCUACAUUGUAUAUAUAUGUCUGGAGUCCUAGGACAGUUUCCCAUCCUAAAGCAACCAGCUUUGAGCUGCUGUUUUCCUGGAGUUUCAUGGUAUAUAUGUACUAAUGCUGGAAUUCUAGUUCAUCACAUUUCUGAACGGAAAAUUCUUCAUCUCCCAGGGCCUGAUUAUAGAGGGCACAGAACUUUCCAGGGAAGUGGGGGAGCGGUUCUGGGGCUCUUCUCUUGCACUUUCCUGCCCCCAGGACAACCAGGACCCCAGUGCAGGAGGCCUGCCAUCUGAAGAAAGGUGACAACCGCCUUUAACAACCAAGGUCCUGGCUUUGAACUGUGUCCAGAUGAGCCUGUCUCCUCCUUUCCACCACCCAGCAUGUCCUGCACAGACGGCUCCUUGAAAUAACAAUCUCGAGAUCACUCGUCUCUUAGAACAAAGAACUGCAAGAGGCUCAUCAAACUUUUUUCUUGGCACACAAGCAUCUGGCAACUAUCCAGGGAAUUUGGGGGUCCUACAGAAUUCAAGUUUACAAACCACCAGAGCAAGGUAGUGUUGGAAUUCAGACUUGGUCCUACUGGUCGGUCUGCUCCUCCCUCUGACCCCACCCUGCAAAGAGCUGCCCCGGGAUGGGGAGCUGUCACAGGGACCACCCCACCCCGCAAAGAGCCGCCCCGGGAUGGGGAGCCGGCAGGGACCAGGCUCGUCUAGGUGCUCUUCCUUGGGGCCGCCUCCCUGAUGAGCCAGAACUCCGUCCCCACCCCCACUCAUGCACAAGCAACAGGGACGCCUCAACCUGCCAUCCAUUAACCACGACACCCGCUGGGACACAGCUCCUAACCUGGUAGAAAGAGAAGGGUCCCAAGAAUGAAGCAAGAUCAACACCCACAUGGCUUUUCCUCCGCUCAGCCUGGUGCUGCAGUUGGACGUGCACCACAAAGGCUGGAUGGGGUGCCCAGCCAGAGAGCCGCGGCUGGGAGGAGGGCAAGCUGGGGCUUCCUGCGUAGAGGAGGGCACUCUUGGCAGCUCCCCGAAGCUUCUGGAAGCUGUCCACGAGCCCAUCACUGGCGGCUCACCCUCCACGCAGAGGUGCCAGCAGCAGAGUCCCCCCCCCACACUCCCGACACCACGUGGGCAUGCCUGUUGCCCUCGGCCCAGCAGCUGCAAGUGACAGCCACGGCCCUCCUGCCUGUCACCGGCGGAAGCAGCCCAGCACUGGCAUCCAGGGCUGAGCGGGAGGGAGGCCCACGUGGGCUCACCCCCAGGAGCAAGGUGAUGAACAGUGAGAUGGGCCCUCACCCCGGAGCCUGGCAUCACCUCCUCCCAUAGGCCAGCCUGGAAGCACGAGCAUGCACAAAGCCUUGAGGACGUGGUCCGCAGUGAUGCCAGGACAGCCCUAUUCAUCCAAGUAGCCAGAGAAGGAAGAGAAAGCAUCCUGCCUCCCUCCUAAUCCCCCAGCACCGAUUCCAAGCUAUUUAAAACCCUCUGAGGUGGGCAUCACCCCCAAAUUGCUCAAAACAAUUCACGUCCACACUACAGGCCAUUAAUCCAGUGGUGUUUAUUCAAGCAGUAUUCACACUCGCUAUCGAAUAACAAGGGCAUCAAGGCCCCCAAGAUGGGGCUCUCACAGCUCCAGCUUCACAGCAGCCUCUCUGGGAGGGGUUUCAAGAACUUAAGAUGAAGGUGAUGGCUGAAAAGGCUUGCCGUUCCCACUCUGGGCCCCCGAGGAGUACAGCCUGCUUCUCGCAUCCUCAUCACCAGACAGACCCAGGCCGGCGGCAGAGGCACAGCUGGGCAGAACUAUGUAAGCUCAGAAGAGGCCACACUGGUCCAUGUUUUCGUACAAAAAAUUUAAUAAAUAUGACUUUUCAAAAUGUAUUGCCAGGAACAACACAAAGAUGCAAGUUUAUGUCCGUAUAACACUAAGAGGACAAUACAAAGGGUCUUCACGGUCUCAAUGGUGAACUAACAAAAUCAGUUUUGAAUAAGCCUUUUUGAACUUAACUUCAUCAUAGCAUUUUGAUUUCCUCACUUAAGGCAGGCAGUGGACUCUGUGGCAAAUCUAAACAGUGAUCUUACUGGACAUUUUACGGUUCAAGUAUUCAACUAGCUUAUUAGAAUACUCCCUAAAUGCAGUAGAUAAAAAAAUCAAAUGAGUCUUACAUAAUGAAUGGUGAAAAGAAAUCAGAAUUUACAAAAUAAGAUUGGUGUGCUUCCAACUUCACACAAUUAAUUUGAUAUUUUUAUUGAUCUUCAACCACUCAUGUUUCGGCUAUGUUUAGUCACAGCUCACCUUGUUCCCUUAAACUGCUAGGCAGCAGAUCAUCUGCCUGUCUCUCUUCAAGUCUAAAAAAAAAAAAAAAAACCUGUUCUAGACUAAUUCUCAAACUGCCUCAGUCGGGGUUUUAAAUAUCUGACGUCGUACGAAAAAAAAAAAAAAUUCCACCAGUAUUCCAGGCACGAAAGGCCAUCCUAUUGUCUUAAACUAUUUUCAAACACCUUAAUUUUGGCUUAUAGGCAACACGUAAUAAGAAAAUAAGUUCAAAAAAAUAAAGCCAUACGCUUACAACGCUAUCAAAAACCUUCAAUUCUAAACACGUACAUAUAAAUAAAAAGGAAUGAUGUCUUAAGGCUCUUGAUUAUUAAGUUAAUAAAUCAAAUAUACACAGUGAUUAAUAAAAAAAGAAUUAUUUACAUAACUAUACAAAAUUCUACUUUUGACACAUUUUUCCUCUUUAAAUUCUUCAUUUUACCAGCAACUGCUGACAUCGAAGUCCCCCCUCCCCCAACAACAAAAUACAAUAAAAAAAAUAAAUAAUAAACUCAUUUGUGAUAGUUGCUGUGGUUCUGAGCUGCAAAGGCACUUUUCAAAUACAGAACUACUUGGACGUCAUCAUAAAACCAAUAUACAAAAACAACUCAAGAGUCAAUAAAUAUAAAUAAAAACUAUGGUCCUAAGACUGCAUCACCAUCGGGACAUCUGGCAGAAAUGGAAGCUGGGCGAUCUCCUGGGAGCCUGAUCCGGAGGUGCGGGCAGGCGGGGGGCGGGGGGCCCGGCAUUUGCAUAGCUGCGGUGCGGUGCCACCCAGCCAACCACAGAAACUACCACUGCCAGUGAAAGCCAGCUUGUCAGAACUUAAAUUAACACGGGACUCUACGCCCGGGACAGCGUGGGGCCGGAGCGCGGCAGACGGGGCGGCUGCGGGAGCGGAUCCCCGGGAGCCCC
This 4224-nucleotide long non-coding RNA is filed under the name Cervus hanglu yarkandensis (Yarkand deer). RNAcentral describes it as "lncRNA (ENSCHYG00000013645.1)". Lineage: Eukaryota; Metazoa; Chordata; Mammalia; Artiodactyla; Cervidae. The record is from RNAcentral.